This 72-nucleotide transfer RNA is filed under the name Candidatus Taylorbacteria bacterium RIFCSPHIGHO2_02_FULL_44_36. RNAcentral's name for it is "tRNA-Arg". It matches the Rfam family "tRNA". From Rfam's summary of the family: Transfer RNA (tRNA) molecules are approximately 80 nucleotides in length. Their secondary structure includes four short double-helical elements and three loops (D, anti-codon, and T loops). RNAcentral also lists the same sequence under 2 other names. The record is from RNAcentral. Lineage: Bacteria; Candidatus Tayloriibacteriota.
CUCCCCGUCGUUCAACGGAUAGGACACUUCCCUGCGAAGGAAGAAAUGCUGGUUCAAUUCCAACCGGGGAGA